GAUGAAGAACGUAGCAAAAUGCGAUAAGUAAUGUGAAUUGCAGAAUUCAGUGAAUCAUCGAAUCUUUGAACGCACAUUGCGCCCGCCAGUAUUCUGGCGGGCAUGCCUGUUCGAACGUCAUUUCAACCCUCAAGCACAGCUUGGUGUUGGGACUCGCGUUAAUUCGCGUUCCUCAAAUUGAUUGGCGGUCACGUCGAGCUUCCAUAGCGUAGUAGUAAAACCCUCGUUACUGGUAAUCGUCGCGGCCACGCCGUUAAACCCCAACUUCUGAAUGUUGACCUCGGAUCAGGUAGGAAUACCCGCUGAACUUAAGCAUAUCAAUAAGCGGAGGA
Molecule: unclassified non-coding RNA, 332 nt
Filed under: soil metagenome
Description: partial contains 5.8S ribosomal RNA, internal transcribed spacer 2, and large subunit ribosomal RNA
Rfam family: 5.8S ribosomal RNA (bases 1-120)
Source: RNAcentral